UACGAGGGGGCCAAGCGUUGUUCGGAAUUAUUGGGCGUAAAGGGCGCGUAGGCGGCCAUUCAAGUGACGGGUGAAAGCCCUCGGCUUAACCGAGGAACUGCCUGUCAGACUGGAUGGCUUGAGACCGGGAGAGGUGAGUGGAAUUCCCAGUGUAGCGGUGAAAUGCGUAGAUAUUGGGAGGAACACCAGUGGCGAAGGCGGCUCACUGGACCGGAACUGACGCUGAGGCGCGAAAGCGUGGGGAGCAAACAGG
RNAcentral lists this ribosomal RNA (253 nucleotides) under uncultured bacterium. RNAcentral describes it as "partial 16S ribosomal RNA". It matches the Rfam family "Bacterial small subunit ribosomal RNA", at positions 524 to 776 of the family's 1533-position model. The record is from RNAcentral.